GACGAACGCUGGCGGCGUGCUUAACACAUGCAAGUCGAGCGGUAAGGCCCUUUCGGGGGUACACGAGCGGCGAACGGGUGAGUAACACGUGGGUGACCUGCCCUCAGCUCUGGGAUAAGCCUGGGAAACCGGGUCUAAUACUGGAUAUGACUCCAUGACGCAUGUUGUGGGGUGGAAAGCCUUGUGCGGCCGAGGAUGGGCCCGCGGCCUAUCAGCUUGUUGGUGGGGUGAUGGCCUACCAAGGCGACGACGGGUAGCCGGCCUGAGAGGGCGACCGGCCACACUGGGACUGAGACACGGCCCAGACUCCUACGGGAGGCAGCAGUGGGGAAUCUUGCGCAAUGGGCGAAAGCCUGACGCAGCGACGCCGCGUGGGGAAGAAGGCCUGGUGUAA
This 394-nucleotide ribosomal RNA is filed under the name uncultured bacterium. RNAcentral describes it as "bacterial SSU rRNA". It matches the Rfam family "Bacterial small subunit ribosomal RNA", at positions 28 to 428 of the family's 1533-position model. The record is from RNAcentral.